GGUCUCGUCGCCUAGUGGCUGGGCAGGACUCUGCAAAAGUCCCUACAGCGGUUCGAAUCCGCUCGAGACCU
Molecule: transfer RNA, 71 nt
Filed under: Ignavibacteria bacterium
Lineage: Bacteria; Pseudomonadati; Ignavibacteriota; Ignavibacteria
Also listed under: 1 other name
Description: tRNA-Cys
Rfam family: tRNA
About the family: Transfer RNA (tRNA) molecules are approximately 80 nucleotides in length.
Source: RNAcentral